This 483-nucleotide ribosomal RNA is filed under the name uncultured bacterium. Its description in RNAcentral is "partial 16S ribosomal RNA". It matches the Rfam family "Bacterial small subunit ribosomal RNA", at positions 28 to 523 of the family's 1533-position model. The record is from RNAcentral.
GACGAACGCUGGCGGCGUGCUUUACACAUGCAAGUCGAACGGUGAAGGUGGAGCUUGCUCCGCCGGAUCAGUGGCGAACGGGUGAGUAACACGUGGGCAACCUGCCCCUAACUUUGGGAUAACUACUCGAAAGAGUAGCUAAUACCGGAUAUGAAGUCUGUAGGCAUCUAUGGAUUUGGAAAGUUUUUCGGUUAGGGAUGGGCCCGCGGCCUAUCAGCUUGUUGGUGAGGUAGUGGCUCACCAAGGCGACGACGGCUAGCCGGCCUGAGGGGGCGACCGGCCACACUGGGACUGAGACACGGCCCAGACUCCUACGGGAGGCAGCAGUGGGGAAUAUUGCGCAAUGGGCGAAAGCCUGACGCAGCAACGCCGCGUGCGGGAUGAAGGCCUUCGGGUUGUAAACCGCUUUCAGCAGGGAAGAAGCGAAAGUGACGGUACCUGCAGAAGAAGCACCGGCUAACUACGUGCCAGCAGCCGCGGUAA